Molecule: long non-coding RNA, 2543 nt
Organism: Acinonyx jubatus (cheetah)
Lineage: Eukaryota; Metazoa; Chordata; Mammalia; Carnivora; Felidae
Exons: 2
Source: RefSeq, a predicted model, not a curated record
CGGUGGGCGCCGUUCCGGGAGGUAGAAUUCCACAGGCUGUGGAAAUGCCCGAGCGGUUGCUCGGCUUGUCUGAGGAAGACGUGUGUGGGGGGAACCACACCAUUAUGGACUCACAGAAACUGGAUUUACUCUCUUGUCUAUAACAACAAAACAAAACCACACAAGAUAUACAAAAUGCCGAUUUCCAAGAGACUGGGCAUCAGGCAAAAGAGGACGGCAAUUCCAGACACUUGGAAACACACAGGUCAGCCAAGCCCUACACAACAUAUGUGCUGCCUUGAGAGAGUUUCCAAGUAAGGUGCAGGGAGGGGAAACUGAAGAGGAGCCCAGUGUACUAUGUAGAGUUGAGGACACUGAGCUGCGAGUCCACAGGACGAUGUGGUGGGGAGGGCAGAGCUGUGAAAGUCAAUUAGCAAGAGCUGUUGGGGGGCCCUAAGUGUGCAGCACAGUCCUGCUCUGUGCCUCCAUGGGCGCCAACUCCAGCAAGUCAGGGAGCAAUCUUGUGAAAGGAUUAGAGGGAACAGAGCCUGUACAUCAGCACUGGAAAUACAGCCUGUUGCCAACAGAUAGACUGGGAAAAGUAACCCCCCUCACUCACGAGGCAGGAGGACUCAGGGAGGUCUUGCCACAGUGUUGGGAACUCCUAAUUAGCCCUCUGCUGAGCACUGCUCAGGACCACUGAAAAAUCAUUAAAGUAACACUAGACAUGAUCAAACUGUUUCCAAGUAACUGAAUUGCAUCCUUGAUCAAAGCUCAGGAUUAUAGAAAACACAAAAAUAUCCAGCAACCAAACAAGGUAACAUUCCCACUGGCCAUUCCAUCCAAGAUUUUGAGGUGUGCAGAGCAACAGGGGAAAUGACCCUUAAUGAGGAGACAGUUCAAUCAUCUGAAAAUGACCCAAAGCUGACACAGGUAUGAGACUCACCAGAGGAGGACAUUAAGGUGUUUCUUAUAAUUGUAUUCCAUGAGUUCAGAAUGUUCAACAGGUAAAUGGAAAGUGGGAAAAAGACCCAAUCUCACGUUAAGCGAUGAAAACCGCAAUGCCUGAAGAGAAGUGUACUGCAAGGGGUUGACAGCAAUAGAAAAUGCAGAAGAAAGACAUUUCAUAGGACUUGUUUUGAAUCUGCAGGCCUUGUCGAUUAGUAUUGCCCCCUUCACUCCAUUAGAAAACACAGAAGAAAAACAUUUCAUAGGACUUGUUUUGAAUCUGUAGACCCCGUUGGUUAGUAUUGCCGCCUUCACUCCAUAAAAUCUAAUCCGUGAACACAGGAUGUCUUGCUAUUUCUUUAGUUUUCUCUAAUCUCUUACAGCAGUGUUGUAUAGUUUUCACUGUAAAAGUCUUUGCUUCCUUGAAUCAGUUCAUUUAUAGAUAUUUUAUUGUUUGGGGUGCUAUUGUAAGUGCAAUUGUUUUCUUAAUUUCCUUUUCAAAUUGGUCUUUGUUGGUGUAGAGAAACACAACUGAUUUUUGUCUAUCUUGUCCUCUGCAACUUUAUAGAAUUAGUUUAUUGACUCUAGCAUUUUUGUUUGUGAAGUACUUGGGAUUUUUCUCUAGAUAGGAGGAUGCCUUCCACAAAUAGAAAUAAUUUUAUUUAUUCCUUUCCACACUAUUUUUGCUCAACUUCAAUUCUGAAAGAUAUUUGGGCUGGGUGUGGAAGCCAACAACCGCCACAGGCCACCCCUGGAUUUUUGGGACCGAGAUGAGCAGUGACAGGAGGUUGCCUAUUCUGGGUCACCUCAGCCCGGGGUCUUGGAUGAGCACACACAGCCUGGCCAGGGAAAUAGAGUCCUUGUUCUUUGCAACCGCCUCAAAUGAGAAGGACCAAAAGACCCCUUGAGGCUCCUACAGGGAGGGUUCCUGCCCCUCCCCGACCUGGGAAUGGCCCAGAAGUGAGAAGUCAGAAAAGGGAAGGGGCUGGGGUGGCUGCUGACUCCAGGCCGUGGGGGGCCCCUGAAAGCUGUGCCUAAUUCCACCUGUAGAGAGCAAAAUGGGAUCUCUCACUCAAGCAGGGGCCUGGGUCAAGCAAUAACACAAGCAGUUAAAUAUAUUGCAGCUAGGAGGUACUGCUAGGACCAGCAUCAGCUGACACCCCAGAACUGACAAUAAUUAGAAACAGAGGAGGGGGCAAGACUGAUUAAAUCCCUUUAAAAAGGAGAGGAUUUUUACAGCAAACUGUCAGACUCUUCAGACAUGACCUCUCUAUGUCAGACCACUUCAAAAAGGCAGCUACUGCUGAAGGCUCUGCCCAAUUGAUCCUCAAACAGAACUGCGAUCCUUCACUGCUUAAACAUAAUAAGCAAUAAGUGGCAUGAACUGUCCUGGACCGGACCAAGGCCAGAGGACUGCAUGCCCACAGACUGGCUUCUACACUUUCUGUCAUCUUCUUUGUUGUAUGGUUUGUCUUAUGUUCUGCUCUCUGUGUUGGGUAAGAAGCCAAGUUUAAUCACUUUGUGAAAUGUCAUUGAAUUUGGAACCCUGAAAUUGCUUUAUAAUAGUGAUUAACUUUGCUUUAUGAUCGAAUAAAGCUGACAUCGUGGAAAGACAC